This 253-nucleotide ribosomal RNA is filed under the name uncultured bacterium. RNAcentral's name for it is "partial 16S ribosomal RNA". It matches the Rfam family "Bacterial small subunit ribosomal RNA", at positions 524 to 776 of the family's 1533-position model. The record is from RNAcentral.
UACGUAGGGGGCGAGCGUUGUCCGGAAUCAUUGGGCGUAAAGCGCGUGUAGGCGGCCCGGUAAGUCCGCUGUGAAAGUCCAGGGCUCAACCCUGGGAUGCCGGUGGAUACUGUCGGGCUCGAGUCCGGAAGAGGCGAGUGGAAUUCCUGGUGUAGCGGUGAAAUGCGCAGAUAUCAGGGGGAACACCAAUGGCGAAGGCAGCUCGCUGGGACGUGACUGACGCUGAGACGCGAAAGCGUGGGGAGCAAACAGG